GACGGGACAGGACAGGAGAGAGUGGUGCUGUGAGGAGACCCCGCACAGCUGGCUCACCCCUUGCUGACCCGGAGCUUUUCUGAGACGUUACUCCUGUGGCUGGCCCUGCGGCCAGACUGCAGGACUUGGUGACUCAGCGCUUUCCUGAGGCAUCUCCCAUCCCUGCGGCCGGUGCCCUCGUGGCCUGGCCGUGGGACUUGGUGACCUCCAUCCCUCACAAGGAGUCUCCUGUCAUUGCGACAGGAGCCCUUGAGACCAGAGUGCAGGACUUGCUGUCCUGUGGCCUUCCUGAGACUUCUCUGUCGCAGGCACCUGGAAGGCGCGACUGCUGCACCCGCUGACUUGGACCUUUGCCGAGGCAUCUGUCUCCAACGUGCCCUCGAGGUCAGACAGCGGGAUGGCAGGCAGAGUGCUCAGCCUGUUCAGGAUGCUUCGGGGGAAGAAAAAGAAUGGCGCUGCAGCUGCCCCAGCGCAGCAGCCUGCAGAGCCAGAGCAGUUGCAACCACUGCAGGACGAUGCAGGAAAGGAUGGGACACGAGAACAGGAUCCCACCAGCGGACGCUUCCACAGAGCAGCACAGGCACUGCGGAGGUUCCUGCGUGUUCGGCGCAGAAAGACCAGUGCCACCGCCACC
Molecule: long non-coding RNA, 634 nt
Organism: Passer domesticus (house sparrow)
Lineage: Eukaryota; Metazoa; Chordata; Aves; Passeriformes; Passeridae
Exons: 3
Source: RefSeq, a predicted model, not a curated record